AUACGGAAGGGGGCUAGCGUUGUUCGGAAUUACGUGGGACGUAAAGCGCACGUAGGCGGACAUUUAAGUCAGGGGUGAAAUCCCGGGGCUCAACCUCGGAACUGCCUUUGAUACUGGGUGUCUAGAGUGUGGAAGAGGUAAGUGGAAUUCCGAGUGUAGAGGUGAAAUUCGUAGAUAUUCGGAGGAACACCAGUGGCGAAGGCGGCUUACUGGUCCAUUACUGACGCUGAGGUGCGAAAGCGUGGGGAGC
This 250-nucleotide ribosomal RNA is filed under the name uncultured bacterium. Its description in RNAcentral is "partial 16S ribosomal RNA". It matches the Rfam family "Bacterial small subunit ribosomal RNA", at positions 523 to 769 of the family's 1533-position model. The record is from RNAcentral.